UUUCCGUCGUAAAAUCUCUGGAAAUGUCUCAAUAGUGGGCGAUUCCGAGAUAUCGACGGCCUUGGAGACGGUUUAUGCGGAAGUAUACCGCAAUGCAGCAAAAGAAGCGGCGGCGCAGAUCAUGGUUUCGGGGACUAAAGGUUGGAGAAAGCUAGAUGCGAUAACUUUGGGCUCAGAUUCGAGAAGCAGAAGUUGUAGCGAAGGUCAAAGAUAUUGGAUAAGAGUUGCGAGAAAUUCAGGAUAGAUUGGAUAAAGUAAUGAACAGGAAUCAACAAACUUAAAUGAGAAAAAAUUAGCAGGACAUAUUGCUACUAAGAAAGACAUGACAUUACGGCCUCUGACCUCUCUUGGUUUUGGUGAGUCCACAGUUAUUUUAAGUGGUUCUCCUCUGGAACAGCAGCUCAUUACUUGUGAAAUGGACAUGUCAGUUAAGUGCAAGCUUAAAAGCACCAGUGAUACUGACUUUGCCUUCAUUAUAAGAAGAGACAAAGAAUCAGAACCUUUAAAAUGGAUGCCUACCAUGAAAUACAUGGCAGAAGAGAUGAGAAGACCAUGACCAAACGUGUGUGUUGAUAUUAAUAUGAAAGUGGUGCAGACAGAUUAUACUGUUAUCAGAGUGACUUUUCAGAAAAUGAAAAGAAUACUGAAACAUAGGAUAGAAUAUUCUCUUCUAAACAGGUCAUUUUUUUCAGUGGCUAUCAGAAUUAUACGGAGUAUCAGUCUUUUAUUUCUCCAAAAUUCCAUUAUUAACAGUGGAAAGCCACCCACCAGAUGAUUCCUUCUUGAUGAUGAUCACGAUAAUGAUACUCAGAAGAACGGAACUAGAGAAGAUAAAAUUAUCGACAGGAUUUGCACAAUACCUUCAACAGAGGAAAAGUUGCAUUUUCCAUGGGAGAUGAAAAGGCUGAAGCAAUACAUAUACCUUCUGCUAAGAAGAUUUCGGACGUAUCGAAAAUAUGCAGGUGAAGGUAACAGUAUUAUGCCAGUUUCCAGAACAUGGAGAAGUUACAGAAAAGAAGAGCUCUCCAAACUCCAAAGCAUGUUCUUCACUAGUGAGGCCAUGGACACACAUCAUGCACCGUUUCUUCAUUGCUCUGGAAUUCCGUUUGUAGACAACUCUAAUCAACCUGGGGAGAGUUCAUCAAUCAUGAAUGAAAUUGGUAGUCAGAAAUAUUGUUUAAUUCCAUUGAUUUUUAGUGUUUUAUCGGAAAAGGAUGAUGUGUUUACAACACAUGAAGAUGCUGAAAGUGAUAUUGGAAUGCAUGCUUCUCAACAAAUGACGAUGUGGUCGUAGUUGAGUUGGACAUGCGCAGCCCGGAAAUUUUGUCCUUCAACCUUUUGACUCCGGCUUGCGGAAGUGAUACCGAAACUGUUAAAGGCUUGUUAUCUUAGUUUGAAAGGUCUGCUUCUGAUUUGAAUGAUGACUCCCACAGGCAACCUAUAAAUAUUUAUGUUCUUAAGCAAUUUGUAGAAAGCACAAAGACUUGCCAGUUAAUUCAGACGGUAAUUCAUCUCGUAACGAGAGUAUUUAAAGAGGAAGAUGAGGAGCAAAGGAAUGGUUUUGUAGAGACUUAGAAUUGAAGCUUCAUGGUUGAAUUAUCUAAAGAUAGUCGGCAACCAGCACAUUUGCACAUCAGUUUCAGAUUUGACGCCUUUGUGCAAGUAAGAAGAUAAGAGUGCAAGAUCACAGCCUAAAGUGAGCAUCUUUCCCCCGUUUGGCGGCAAUGUUAGUGGCAGACCACAAGGCCUUCAAAAUAUUGUCCGUAGAGCAUGCCUCUGCAAUUGCCUUGUGUUCUUUUAUUUCACGGAUCAUUGCUGCUCUGUUGUUACAGAAAUGGUGGUAAGUAGUUUUUACCUUUAAUCAUGCGUCAUGGAAACUUUACUUUUUUGCUUUCUGACAUCUCAUUUUUAACCCUGACUUGCGAUUAGAUGAAUUUAUAGACUUAUAGUUACUUAAAUUUUCUAUGACUUGUUUUUUUUUUAUUUGAAUUGGAAAUGGUUAGGAUAUUAUUGUAGCGUAAUGUAAAAUUUUGAUUGAUAAGUUGCAUACUUUAAAUUGAAUAGUUCAACUUGAAGGUGAAGAAACAAUAUAAUUUUUUCUGAAAUGUUAUGGAUCUAAAAAUGUCGAUCAUGUGGCUGAGCUGUAGGAUCUGAAUAUGAAGAUUGGUUUCUUGUUUUUUUGCAGUAGGUUUCUUUAAUAUAGCGUAUGUUAGUUAAAAACCUACGUAUGAACCUGAGGUGUGAGGCCUUAUCCCUAUGCAACUGCCUUCCUAUUAUAUUGCUGAAAUGUUUAUGAAUUGGGAGCAUUGCGUAUCAUGACAGAAUAGCAAUGUAUUGACGAAGUCACUGUAUGCGAUAAUGGGGAAGAAAUGAUUUGAACCAAGGUAAAAUGAUUUCGAAUGAUAUCUGGAAAUGGGAAAAGCAGUACAUCCUCUCAUCUUUUCAGAUCAGUUUGAUGUGACACGACAAGCGCCGAAGACUUCAAACUCAAAUUUUGAAAUGUGAAUGAAUCUAUGUAACGUGUACUAUACUAUCAUGUGAAUCUAUAAAAUUAGAGGGCGGAAUUUGCGACUAAAUAUAAGCAUGUAUGCAAAUACA
Molecule: long non-coding RNA, 2598 nt
Organism: Cucurbita moschata (crookneck pumpkin)
Lineage: Eukaryota; Viridiplantae; Streptophyta; Magnoliopsida; Cucurbitales; Cucurbitaceae
Exons: 6
Source: RefSeq, a predicted model, not a curated record